Molecule: ribosomal RNA, 569 nt
Filed under: Candidatus Bathyarchaeota archaeon
Lineage: Archaea; Thermoproteati; Candidatus Bathyarchaeota
Description: bacterial LSU rRNA
Rfam family: Archaeal large subunit ribosomal RNA
Source: RNAcentral
CGUCUGGUGGAUGGCUCGGCUUGAGCGCUGAGGAAGGGCGCGGCAAGCCGCGAAAGAGCCCCGGGUAGGCGCAUGCAGCCGUAGAUCCGGGGAUUCCUGAAUGGGACUUCCUACCGCGGUUCUUCGGAACCGUGGUGCUCCCGGCAGGGAGCGGGAACCCCCCGAACGGAAGCAUCUUAGUAGGGGGAGGAAAAGAAACCAACUGGGAUUCCCUUAGUAGCAGCGAGCGAAAAGGGAAAAGUCCAAACCAAACCCCGCGGGGAAACCUGUGGGGGAUGUGGAGUUAUGGGCCCAGCCUCCUCUUCGCCGGCGAAGCCGAAGUGGCCUGGAACGGCCCGCCAUAGAGGGUGAAAGCCCCGUAGGCGUAAGCUGGAAAGAGUUGGGCUGGAGUCCCAGAGUACCGUACCUUGGUUUGGGUGCGGGAAGUUGAGAGUCACCAACUACCAAGACUAAAUACGUCUCAAGCCCGAUAGCGCACUAGUACGGUGACGGAAAGCUGAAAAGCACCCCGGGAGGGGGGUGAAAAGAGCCUGAAACCAGACGGUUACAGACGUGUGCAGCCCGGAAGG